AGGGAAUAUUGGACAAUGGGCGCAAGCCUGAUCCAGCAAUGCCGCGUGAGUGAUGAAGGCCUUAGGGUUGUAAAGCUCUUUUACCCGAGAUGAUAAUGACAGUAUCGGGAGAAUAAGCCCCGGCUAACUCCGUGCCAGCAGCCGCGGUAAUACGGAGGGGGCUAGCGUUGUUCGGAAUUACUGGGCGUAAAGCGCACGUAGGCGGCGAUUUAAGUCAGGGGUGAAAGCCCAGUGCUCAACACUGGAACUGCCCUUGAGACUGGAUUGCUUGAAUCCGGGAGAGGUGAGUGGAAUUCCGAGUGUAGAGGUGAAAUUCGUAGAUAUUCGGAAGAACACCAGUGGCGAAGGCGGCUCACUGGACCGGCAUUGACGCUGAGGUGCGAAAGCGUGGGGAGCAAAC
This 400-nucleotide ribosomal RNA is filed under the name uncultured bacterium. Its description in RNAcentral is "bacterial SSU rRNA". It matches the Rfam family "Bacterial small subunit ribosomal RNA", at positions 356 to 773 of the family's 1533-position model. The record is from RNAcentral.